UCGCACGCGUUCCGUCACGUCGACAGUAAAGUUUCGACUGCAGAAGCCGUAGGAGCCAACUGCGUCCCGCAGACACCAAAGUCCAGAUAUCCACAUGAGACAAAUAUGAAUAAUGCGCGACUGACCCAAUUUUUAUUCAACAGAAAGAAAAGAAACGAUGGAAGUAUAUUGAAACUGGAGAUGGAAGUUGGCUGCAGACUCAAAAAUAAUGUCAAGGAUUGUUCUUAAUUUACUGGUUUGCAAUCUUUCCCGAUCCUUGAAGCCCCUGCGAGAGGGAUGAAUGAACACUCGAAGUCGAUAUAGAUUUCUUUCUUCUUCCAAACUUGGGAGGAUAGAAAUUUCGGGGCGAAGGAAGCAUCGAUCGACCGCGAGAGAAAGAGGACGUCACGUCAGGUGGAGCUGGGUCCAGGGAAAACGAGAAGAUGAGGUGGCAUCGGGUCGACGGGCGGCUGCUUUUCAGUCGCCACCCCCGGCAUCGAUCCAACAACCGCCGAACGCGAACGAGGAGGAGGUCCUGGACGAAAUGUACACUAUACCCUGCUUGCCCGCAGUUUCGCGAGAGAAACACACACGCGAAAAUCCACUUUUUGCACGCAAACCUCUCCUCCGGUUGUCCAAUGAUGGAAAAUACACCGACUUACUUCGUACGGGUCUGUUAUAAAUUUUACAUGUAUCUUUACCGCGAUUGGAAAUGGUUCCUUUCUUGAUCGUUGGACGAAAUAUAAAGAAAAAAUU
Neodiprion virginianus is the source of this 735-nucleotide long non-coding RNA. RefSeq lists it as uncharacterized. Lineage: Eukaryota; Metazoa; Arthropoda; Insecta; Hymenoptera; Diprionidae. The record is from RefSeq and is a predicted model, not a curated record. The transcript is spliced from 3 exons.